Long non-coding RNA from Benincasa hispida (wax gourd), 2030 nucleotides. RefSeq lists it as uncharacterized. The record is from RefSeq and is a predicted model, not a curated record. Lineage: Eukaryota; Viridiplantae; Streptophyta; Magnoliopsida; Cucurbitales; Cucurbitaceae.
AGGAAGAAAGAAAAAAAGAAAAGAAAAGAAUUAGUAGAUCUCUCUCUUUUCCUCUGCAGAAGAAGAAACGAAACGCCCAUUUCACGCUUCUCUCGCUAACUUUAGCCAAUGACCAGCCAUCGUCUACCGCACAACCACCUCCCUUCGAUCUCCGUCAAUCGUCUUGUCGUCGCUUCAAGUCCGCCACCGCUCAAGCCCUAUCGCCCGCUGGUAGAUCUCGUCGUCGAUCGAUGAGUCUGUCCAGCCAUGCCGCUGCCCAACUUUGAAGCUGCCAGUCUCCGCCACGCCUAUUCCAGACGCCACCGCCAGCCAGCUAGAUACGAGCUGCGUCGUCCAGAGCAAUCAAGGUGUUUCUAAAGGAUAAAAUUGGAGUUUUUGCGAGGUCUUAGACUGCUGUCCAGCGGGUCGGAAACAAUUCCGAUAAGAUUUUGGUGGGAUACCUAAAUUGUUUCCAUGACCCAUUGAAUGUUGGUUUCGCUCUUUGAUGUCGUUUGAAGUUUGGAACGAAGUUCUAAAGUCGGGAACGUGGGCGUUACAAGGAUCCCCUUUUGGAGGAUUUUGGGAAGUUUUUGGUGAAUUUUAGCACUCCUUUUGGAUGAAGGGUAAUUGUUGAAAAUUAAGUUAUUAAAUUUUGGAUUUGAGUUAUGUUUAGGUUAGUCAACUGAAUUGAGUUUUGGAACAAAUUUUGGACAAAGCCAUAAUUUCGGUCUUGAUUUAAAGUUGUGUUUGGCAAAAGGAAGAUAAGCUUACUUGGGUUUAAAUUCUGAAGUAAGUAAUCUUACUAUUGGAACCACCUUAAGUCAUGAUGCCUGAUUAGUGAGGAUAUAUGAACAUAUGGUUGUCCUGUUUGAAGUAUGUUAUAAGUAUGAGCAUGAUCUUAAUGUAUAAGAUAUUUUAUAAAAAUGUAUGAGCGUGAUCUAGAUCUUAAUUGACAUAUAUUUUAUAAGAAUUGCUAGCAACCAAAUUCCAAAUGAAAUAUUUGGGAGAGACUCAUGUUCUUGGAAUCCAAAUCGUUCAAAAUCGCAAGAACAGAAUAUUAGCCCUAUCUCAAGCAUCGUAUAUAGACAAGAUGUUGUCUAGAUAUAAACUGCAAAAUUCCAAAAGAGGUUUGUUACCAUGGAGUUCAUCUGUCGAAGGAACAAUGUUAUAAAAUACCUCAAUUGAGGAUAUGAGACCUAUUUCCUGCAUUAGCAAUUGGUAGUUUGAUGUAUGCUAUGUUAUGUACAUGACCUGACAUAUGCUACGUAGUGGGAAUAGUUAUCAGUUCAAUCCAAGAUAUGAUCAUUGGACUGCCGUUAAAAAUAUCCUUAAGUAUCUUAGGAGAACGAAAGACUAUUUGCUAGUGUAUGGUGCUAAGGAUUUGAUCUUUACAUGAUACAUUGACUAUGACUUUCAGAUCGAUAAAGAUUCAAGAAAAUCUACAUCAGGAUCAGUGUUCACUCUAAACGAGUAGUUUGGAGGAGUAUAAAGCAAAGUUGUAUUGCUGGCUCUACUGUGGAAGUUGAGUACGUAAUUGCAUGUGAAACGACAAAGGAAGUUCUAUGGCUUAAGAAGUUCUUGACGAAUUUGGAAGUGGUUCCAAAUAUGCAUCUGUCUAUAACUCUCCAUUAUGAUAAUAAUGGUGUAGUUGCAAAUUCUAAAGAACCCAGAAGCCAUAAGUGCAAGAAGCACAUUGAGCUCAAAUAUAAUCUCAUCAAGGAGAUUGUGUAACAAGAAGACAUGAUCAUCAAACAAAUAGCCUCGGAGCACAACAUUGUUGAUUUGUUUACAAAAGCCUUCACGACUAAAGUGUUUGAGGGUCACCUAGUGAGUCUAAGACUAAGAGUCAUGUAAAUUUAGGGCAAGUGGAAGAAGCCAUAGGUAUGUGAUGUUCUAGUUUAUUAUAUUUAUGUUUUUUUCUCUCAUGCUCAUGUAAAUGACCCCACUGGAGUUUGUUGGAAUUGAUGCCCUAAAUCUCAUAGGUCUUCUAGUUUGUAAUUUUAAUGUACAAAUAUUUUAUUAUUUAAUAAAAUAUGAGAUGUUUUAUUCGA